AUGCCAUUUCGACUCUCAAAUGCACCAAGUACUUUUAUGUUCUUGAUGAAUCAAGUCCUUCGACCCCUCUUGUCUCACUUUGUUGUGGUCUAUUUCGAUGACAUUUUGAUCUAUAGCAAGGAUGAGGAUGAACACUUUGAUCACAUUCAGAAGGUGCUAGAAGUACUAAGGGAAAAUGAUCUCUACGUCAACUUGAAGAGAUGUGUUUUCCUGCAAACACAACUUCUUUUCCUAGGAUUCGCCAUAACAUGUGACGGUAUUCGUGUUAAUGGUUCUAACGUUGAAGCAAUCCAAGAAUGGUCAACUUCGAAGACCAUUUCUGAGGUAAGAAGUUUUCAUGGCCUUGCAACUUUCUAUAGGCGAUUUGUGAAGAAUUUCAGCACUAUCAUGGCACCAAUUAUCGAGUGUUUGAAGAAAGGAAAGUUCCAAUGGACAGAAGCAGCUGAAGCUAGUUUCAAUGAGAUUAAACAAAAACUAUCACAAGCUCAUGUCUUGUUGCUACCUGAUUUCAACAAGACUUUUGAGUUGGAGCAUGAUGCAAGUGAAGUAGGCAUUGGAGAUGUCCUAUCUCAAGAAAGGAAGCCCAUUGCUUUCUUUAGUGAGAAGUUAAGUGAAGCUAGACAGAAAUGGAGUACCUAUCAACAAGAAUUAUAUGCCAUUUUCAGAGCGUUGAAAACUUGGGAGGUCUAUUUGCUGCCUAAAGGGUUCAUUAUUUAUAGCGACCAUCAAUCCUUGAAGCAUUUUAGAAAUCAAAAGCAUGUUGACCGCAUGCUAGCAAGAUGGGCAGCAUAUCUGGAGAGGUUUAACUAUCUCAUCGUGCAUAAAUCUGGAAUAACUAACAAAGUGGCCAAUGCUUUGAGUCGUCGUGCAUGCCUGUUGACUUCUUUUGAAGCUGAACUUCUGGGCAUGGAUCAAAUAAAGGAGUUGUAUGAGGGUGACAAAGACUUUGGCCAUGUUUGGGUAAAGCACGCAAGGGGCCAACCAUUAGGUGAUGACUAUUUGAUGCAAGAUGGAUAUCUCUUAAAAAAUGAUCGUUUGUGCAUUCCAAGAAGUUCUCUACGUGACAAGUGGGUUAGAGAGCUCCAUUCAAGUGAUCUUAGUGGCCAUGUUGGACGGGACAAGACUAUCGCUAGCCUGGAAGCUCGCUACUUUUGGCCACAACUAAAGAGAGAUGCUGGAAAGUUUGUUCAGCGAUGCCCUUUAUGUCAAACCUGA
RNAcentral lists this ribosomal RNA (1215 nucleotides) under Triticum aestivum (bread wheat). RNAcentral describes it as "partial small subunit ribosomal RNA". The record is from RNAcentral. Lineage: Eukaryota; Viridiplantae; Streptophyta; Magnoliopsida; Poales; Poaceae.